Molecule: ribosomal RNA, 448 nt
Filed under: uncultured bacterium
Lineage: Bacteria
Description: bacterial SSU rRNA
Rfam family: Bacterial small subunit ribosomal RNA
Source: RNAcentral
UUUCCAAGUUUUGAGUUUAUCUUAAACACUUGUUACAUGGCACCUGAUACUUUAUUACAUUUCUAGUGGCGGACGGUGAGUAACACGUUGGAACCUGCCCCAAAGUGAGGAAUAAGCCACCGAAAGGUGGUCUAAUACUUCAUAAUAUCCAUCUCGUAUGGAUUAAAGCUUUAUGCGCUUUGGGAGGGGCCUGCGUAACAUUAGCUUGUUGGUGAGGUAAAAGCUCACCAAGGCUUCGAUGUUUAACUGGUUUGAGAGGAUGACCAGUCACACUGGGACUGAGAUACGGCCCAGACUCCUACGGGAGGCAGCAGUAAGGAAUCUUCCACAAUGGGGCAACCCUGAUGGAGCAAUACCGCGUGCAGGAUGAAGCGUUUCGGCGUGUAAACUGCUUUUAUCACCGAAGAUUAUGACUGUAGGUGAAGAAUAAGGACCGGCUAACUACGUG